This 2456-nucleotide long non-coding RNA is filed under the name Oreochromis niloticus (Nile tilapia). RNAcentral's name for it is "lncRNA (ENSONIG00000040882.1)". The record is from RNAcentral. Lineage: Eukaryota; Metazoa; Chordata; Actinopteri; Cichliformes; Cichlidae.
CCUCUUGUGGCGCCUUUUGGGUAGUGCCUUAGUAAACGUGAACGCUGCAAAGAAGUGGUAUCAGACUGGUUUGUAGUGGAGGAAUUUGUUGCCAGUUUCUUUCAUCUUUAAUCCGUAUUCAAGUUGUAAUGUGGUAACUUUUGUGGCACAAAUACCACAAUAUGGCAGAAAUACUAUGUUUUGGCACAAAUACUUUGAUUUGGUAUACUUUAGCUUCUUCACCCCUUUUCAGCAAAAUUUUCAUUUUUUUCACCCCUUUUCAGCACAAAUCCCAGCUUUUUCAGCAAAAACCUCUUUUCAGCAGAAUUCUGAAAAGAGUUCUGCAGAACUCUUUUCAGCAGAAAUUCUGCUGAUUGAACUCUUUUCAGCAGAAUUUUCACCUCUUUUCAGCCCAAAUUCUGCUUAUUCACCUCUUCUGCAAAAUUUUCAGCCUUUUCACCUGUUAUUACCACAAAUCUCAGCUGUUUUCAGAAAAAACCUCUUUUGAGCAGAAAUUCUGCUGAUUCAUCUCUUUUCAGCGCAACUUUCUGCUUCUUUACCUCUUUUCUGCAGAAAUUCUGCUGAUUCACCUCUUUUCUGCAAAAUUUUCCGCCACCAUGAGGACUUUGACGUCGUCCAUUUUGAUGUUGCGAGCAAACAGAAGCCGUUGAAUAGAUGGAAUGAAACGAGGGGUGAGGAGUCUUUUUCUGAUGCUCUGAUAAUUUUCAGCGUAAAAGUCAUCCUCCAAGACUUGCAGACACUCGUGCUGUCUCUGGCGGGGGUGAUCAAACUUACAGCCGUUGCAUUCAUCAGUGAGGUACUUGUUGAUUACUAGGUUGACUAGAUGAUACACAGCUGUUUUCACGGUAUCGAUAAAUAAAGAAUAUGCCCGACCAUCAAGCUCGACGGCUUGCUGCUGCUGCUUCUCCAAGGGGCGAUAGUAACCAGGUGUGUCAGGUACUAAUGAGCCCUCGUUCGAGGAACUGUCCUCCUCCUCAGUGUGGCGCAGGGGUGCAGACUCCAUCCUUCUCUCUGUUUUGAGCUAAGAAAGGUUUUGUAGGAAUGAGACGGCGGUCUUGUUUUAAAAUAACAGAAGGUGGGGCGUGAUCUGGAAGUGGGAUGAUCUUAAUGGGCGGGUAGGAUAUGAAGCGUUUGAAAUGCAAUACGUGUCCUUAUCAGCUGGAAAUAUUAAUGCCAGAACUUACAACACGAUACUUUUUACUUCAUGUACAGGGUUUCCAAAACAAGUUUUAUUUCAAGUAAACAAACUAAUACAUUUGAUUCAGGUAAAACAGAUCAUCACAUUUAUUCUUGUAAAGGGUUUUCUACAAAGUUUUAUUUCAUGUAAAGCGUUUCCAAGGCUGUUAGCCGAGUUGCCCUGUAUUGAACUUAUUUACAGUGUGUCAGUAAAGGGUGACAUGCACUUCUGGCCCCUGUGUUGAAUGAGCCCAUGUUGGGCUUGUGAAUUUGACACCGUAAGGUUUUGAAGUUGGGGAUACAUGCUCCAGGUGAGCAUAAGAUGUCUGAUAUCAGCUUGACAUCUCAGUUAUAAAUGGAAUUCAAAAUGUUUUUGGAAGUAUGACUAAUGUAUAAUCUGACUUCUAAGGUACGCAUGCCAAGGCCUAGAAGACAAGGGGACAGUUUACGUCGUGCUAUAAAAACACAAACCUUAAUCUUUGAUCUUCCAACUUUAUCUUUGUGUUCUGGUUUUAGAGUCUCUGUUUAUUGAGACGCACUUUGGGAAUCACCCUGUUGUGAGACAAGGGUACGCUGGGCAGGCAUAUGGCAUUAUACAAGCAGAGUGUUUUGGCUGUAUCACUAGAUCUAAGAAAUACACCUGUUAUUGGUUAUUAAAAAGAGUUAGCUGUGGUGCAGGUUUAAUUUAUAAUUUUUGCAUGAACUGUUAAAAAAUUACAGACAGCUUUAUACCGAUAGUGCAGGCAUUUUUUACUUAAAUGGUAAAUGGUAAAUGGCCUGUACUUGUAUAGCGCUUUACUUAGUCCCUAAGGACCCCAAAGCACUUUACACUACAUUCAGUCAUCCACCCAUUCACACACACAUUCACACACUGGUGAUGGCAAGCUACAUUGUAGCCACAGCUGCCCUGGGGCGCACUGACAGAGGCGACUUAAGUAGAAGUAUAGCUGCUAGUGUCAGAAAUACUCAAGUAAAAGUUUGAUAAUGUAUGGGCUCAGAAAUGUGCUCAAAGUAAGAAAGUCAAAGUAGUAACCUAGCUGAAUAUUGUCCUGUAAUAAAAUAAUAUUAGUAGGUGAGACGAGACUACAAACUUAGUCUGGUGGUGAAAAGGCACAAGAGGCUCAGAGGCACAUUUGGCAGCCAUGGUUAGAGCUCAGAGACCCUGAGCAUGGUGGUGAAAGAGUCUAACAUCCAUGCAUUACAUGGUGUUGCGCCUGAUAAAAAACAAAACAAACAAACAAACAAGCAAAAAACCUAUAAACUAACCCCCUUCUUUAGAG